Molecule: small RNA, 794 nt
Filed under: Favites abdita
Lineage: Eukaryota; Metazoa; Cnidaria; Anthozoa; Scleractinia; Merulinidae
Description: eukaryotic LSU rRNA
Rfam family: 5.8S ribosomal RNA (bases 340-493)
Source: RNAcentral
CUCUGGCAACAGAGCGUGGGAUGCCGGAAAGUUGGUCAAACUUGAUCAUUUAGAGGAAGUAAAAGUCGUAACAAGGUUUCCGUAGGUGAACCUGCGGAAGGAUCAUUACCGAUCAAGCACAACUUUUGUUUGCCCUGUGAACCGUCCUGGUGCUAUUUGAGGGGUCGGGCUCUGGCCCGUUAAAUGGCCAUCGGACGCCAGGCGCACGGGCUGUGUGUCUGGCGGCCGCUUGGCCUGCCCCGCCCGUGUUUUUCUUUUGGAACGUGUCUUGUCUGAAUAAAGUAGCUGUCGAGCCCUUGGCGGCUCGACCUGUAGCUGUCGAGCUCAAAAAGAAUGGACAACUUUUGACGGUGGAUCUCUUGGCUCACGCAUCGAUGAAGAACGCAGCCAGCUGCGAUAAGUAGUGUGAAUUGCAGAAUUCAGUGAAUCAUCGAAUCUUUGAACGCAAAUGGCGCUCUUGGGUUCUCCCAGGAGCAUGUCUGUCUGAGUGUCGGAUUGGUCAUAGAUCGCCGGAGCUCACCGGCUCCGGCGGCGUUGAGGCGUCACGGCACCAACCAACCAACCUCGGUGGGGGCCGUGUCCCUCGAAAGGCAGAGAGACUCGCUGUGGUUCCGGGGGCUUUAGCUCCCCGCAGUGCACCAGCGGAAGCCAAAGAGCUUCAGCACUAACCUUCGCGCGCUGCCGGGAUCCCCGCCGCGGCCAGGUCGCCUGUAAAGCGAAAAAAAGCAGCGUCAAGCGCCGCUUCUUCUCUUGACCUCAGAUCAGGCAAGGCUACCCGCUGAAUUUAAGCAUAU